AUAGGGGAGCCGUAGAGAAAUCGAGUCCGAACAGGGCGACAGUCGCUGGGUGUAGACCCGAAACCAGAUGAUCUAUCCAUGGCCAGGAUGAAGGUGCGGUAACACGCCCUGGAGGUCCGAACCCACUAGUGUUGAAAAACUAGGGGAUGAGCUGUGGAUAGGGGUGAAAGGCUAAACAAAUCUGGAAAUAGCUGGUUCUCUCCGAAAACUAUUUAGGUAGUGCCUCAAGUAUCACCAUCGGGGGUAGAGCACUGUUAUGGCUAGGGGGUCAUUGCGACUUACCAAACCAUUGCAAACUCCGAAUACCGAUGAGUGCGAGCUUGGGAGACAGACGUCGGGUGCUAACGUCCGGCGUCAAGAGGGAAACAACCCAGACCGCCAGCUAAGGUCCCAAAGAUUGGCUAAGUGGAAAACGAAGUGGGAAGGCUAAAACAGUCAGGAUGUUGGCUUAGAAGCAGCCAUCAUUUAAAGAAAGCGUAAUAGCUCACUGAUCGAGUCGUCCUGCGCGGAAGAUGUAACGGGGCUAAGCCAGUCACCGAAGCUGCGGAUAUCCGCAAGGAUAUGGUAGGAGAGCGUUCUGUAAGCCUGCGAAGGUGUCUUGUAAAGGAUGCUGGAGGUAUCAGAAGUGCGAAUGCUGACAUGAGUAGCGAUAAUGGGGGUGAAAAGCCUCCACGCCGUAAGCCCAAGGUUUCCUGUUCAACGUUCAUCGGAGCAGGGUGAGUCGGCCCCUAAGGCGAGGCAGAGAUGCGUAGCUGAUGGGAAGCAGGUUAAUAUUCCUGCACCGUCGUAUGAUGCGAUGGGGGGACGGAUCGCGGAAGGUUGUCUGACUGUUGGAAUAGUCAGUUCCUGGUUCAUAGGAGGUACUUAGGCAAAUCCGGGUACAUAAUCCAAGGGAUUGGGACGAGGGACUUAGGUCCUGAAGCAAUCGGAAGUGGUUCCAAGAAAAGCCUCUAAGCUUCAGUCAUACGAGACCGUACCGCAAACCGACACAGGUGGGCGAGAUGAGUAUUCUAAGGCGCUUGAGAGAACUCGGGAGAAGGAACUCGGCAAAUUGGUACCGUAACUUCGGGAAAAGGUACGCCCCGGUAGCUUGACUGCUUUACUGCAGAAGGGUGAAAGGGUUGCAAUAAACUGGUGGCUGCGACUGUUUAAUAAAAACACAGCACUCUGCAAACACGAAAGUGGACGUAUAGGGUGUGACGCCUGCCCGGUGCUGGAAGAUUAAAUGAUGGGGUGCAAGCUCUUGAUUGAAGUCCCAGUAAACGGCGGCCGUAACUAUAACGGUCCUAAGGUAGCGAAAUUCCUUGUCGGGUAAGUUCCGACCUGCACGAAUGGCGUAACGAUGGCCACACUGUCUCCUCCCGAGACUCAGCGAAGUUGAAAUGUUUGUGAUGAUGCAAUCUACCCGCGGCUAGACGGAAAGACCCCAUGAACCUUUACUGUAGCUUUGCAUUGGACUUUGAACCAAUCUGUGUAGGAUAGGUGGGAGGCUUUGAAACCGGGACGCCAGUUCCGGUGGAGCCAACCUUGAAAUACCACCCUGGUUCGUUUGAGGUUCUAACCUUGGCCCGUGAUCCGGGUCGGGGACAGUGCAUGGUAGGCAGUUUGACUGGGGCGGUCUCCUCCUAAAGUGUAACGGAGGAGUUCGAAGGUACGCUAGGUACGGUCGGACAUCGUGCUAAUAGUGCAAUGGCAUAAGCGUGCUUAACUGCGAGACCGACAAGUCGAGCAGGUACGAAAGUAGGACAUAGUGAUCCGGUGGUUCUGUAUGGAAGGGCCAUCGCUCAACGGAUAAAAGGUACUCUGGGGAUAACAGGCUGAUUCCUCCCAAGAGUUCAUAUCGACGGGGGAGUUUGGCACCUCGAUGUCGGCUCAUCACAUCCUGGGGCUGUAGCCGGUCCCAAGGGUAUGGCUGUUCGCCAUUUAAAGUGGUACGUGAGCUGGGUUUAAAACGUCGUGAGACAGUUUGGUCCCUAUCUGCCGUGGGCGUUGGAAAUUUGAAGGGGGCUGCUCCUAGUACGAGAGGACCGGAGUGGACGAACCUCUGGUGUACCGGUUGUCACGCCAGUGGCAUUGCCGGGUAGCUAAGUUCGGAAGAGAUAACCGCUGAAAGCAUCUAAGCGGGAAACUCGCCUUGAGAUGAGAUUUCCCGGAGCCUUGAGCUCCUUGAAGGGUCGUUCGAGACCAGGACGUUGAUAGGUCGGGUGUGGAAGUGCAGUAAUGCAUUAAGCUAACCGAUACUAAUUGCCCGUACGGCUUGUCCCU
RNAcentral lists this ribosomal RNA (2265 nucleotides) under Massilia terrae. RNAcentral's name for it is "partial 23S ribosomal RNA". It matches the Rfam family "Bacterial large subunit ribosomal RNA", at positions 657 to 2925 of the family's 2925-position model. Lineage: Bacteria; Pseudomonadati; Pseudomonadota; Betaproteobacteria; Burkholderiales; Oxalobacteraceae. The record is from RNAcentral.